GUGGCAAAGUAGAUAAUCUCCCUCCCCUGGUACUUAGAAACGGCCUAUCAGGGCUCAGUCAUUGCUUUAUAAAGGCUGUGAUUAGGCUACCUGGGAUGCGUCAUUGUUGGCCCCGCCCAUCCGGUACGUGUGCGCUUCCGCCUAACAAAGGUAUGUUUGUAGCUGGUCUGGCUAAUGCUGCAAUGAGCUCUUGGACCUCGGCUAACUAUAUUAAUUUAUUGUAGCUGGAGUCGCCUUUUUGCAGCUUGAAUAGCCAAUUAUUCCUGGCUUCGCUGUGGUUUUUAGGCUGUUUUUGCCACCUGGUUAGACUGAUUUCAUUCAAGUAAUCUUCUGAGACUUGUGCUGUGAGCAACUGUAUGAGGUGUGUGUAACGCUGUAGUCAAUACCUGGCCCCUGAGUCGGGUGGCUAGCUGUCCUAGUAUCCUGGUGGUGGUGGUGUUUGGAGCACGGAGUGUGGAUUGUCGUUUGUAGUCACUCACCUCACUCUGUGUGUGUGUGUGUGUGUGUGUGUGUGUGUGCUUUUACGAAUAGCCACUUUUGCAGCUAGCCUACCCUGCUAGGGGUAAGCCUUCGUAAAACUGAUUAAUGUAUGCCUGGUCGAUUCAUAUCUUUGCCUGAUCUUUUAAAAGGUGUAUUUUCUACUUUGUGAAUUUAAUAAAUAUUUGUAUACGCUAGUGCCUCUGUCUCUGCCUCCUAUGGUAACGAACCUGUGUGUCUAAAUUCCAUCAAGUAUUUAGUUCCCCUCACUUUAGAGGGGUGGCGUAGUCGGUAGUUAUAUGAUAAUUAAUUAACUUCAAGUUGCCACGCCCACAUUCUGGCGUAGUCGGCAGGGUACCGUGUUUGGCGGAGACACUGGUAUUAGUGGUUGUGUUUUUUUGUUUUUUCUUUUAUUUUUCUGUUGCAGUGAGAUUGGUAAGGAGUAGCAGCAAAACAGCAGCGUACGUCUGGUGGAUUCUGAUUCUUUGAGUCUACUCCCUCUUGUUGGUAAGUGUUACGGCCGUCAAAAUUAUGGAAGAAGAGUUACAGGAACUGAGGGAAGUAGUAGCUCAGUUGCGGGCAGAAAAUGAGAGGUUGCGUCAAGACCACUUUCUUGCGCUUCCUGGCCCUAGUGAUGCACCUUCUAUUGUUCCUGGUCCUUCUGUUGCUGCCCCCCCUCAGCCAAGUAGUGCACAGGCAGUCCUGCCAGAACGAUUCGUUUUUGUACCUCGAGACAGGAAAUGUCAAAAAUUCAAUGGCAGGGUUGGUCUGAGCAUUGAUGAGUGGGUUGAAGAGGCCAAAGCUUGUAUGCAGGCUCGUCACCUGUCUGUUUCUGAUCAAGCUUUCUUCUUGUUUGACCACUUGGAGGGGGAGGCAAGGGAAGAGAUUAGGUACCGUUCGGAGAUUGAGCGAAAUGAUCCAGAUAAAAUUAUUUUGGUGUUACGGGAAUUAUAUGGUUGCUCACAGUCAUAUGUCUUAUUACAGGAGGCAUUUCUUUCUAGAAAGCAGCAGGAGGGUGAAUCAUUGUUGGAGUUUUCCCUAGCUUUAAUGGGUCUCCUAGAACGUGUGACGCAGCGAUCGCCGUAUGUUAUGCCAAAUUCACAAGUUUUGCUACGCGAUCAGUUCAUUGAACAUGUUUGUGACGUGGCCCUUCACCGAGAAUUAAAACAGUUAAUACGUCGUCAGCCAAUGUUAACAUUGUUGGAAGUUCGAAGCGAAGCUCUUAGAUGGGAAAGGGAGGGGAUGUUGGGGAGUACGAGAGGACCUGUAGCAAGUGUCUCUAGUGUUCCCUGUUGUGUAGCCAUUGUGGCAGAGCACUUGUAACAAGUGUCUCGUGUUUCUCGUCGAGUAGCCGCCAUGGCAGAGCACUUGUAACAAGUGUCUCGUGUUUCUCGUUGAGUAGCCGUCAAGGCCAGAGCACUUGUAACAAGUGUCUCGUGUUUCUCGUUGAGUAGCCGUCAAGGCCAGAGGACUUGUAACAAGUGUCUCGUGUUUCUCGUUGAGUAGCCGUCAAGGCCAGAGGACUUGUAACAAGUGUCUCGUGUUUCUCGUUGAGUAGCCGUCAAGGCCAGAGGACUUGUAACAAGUGUCUCGUGUUUCUCGUUGAGUAGCCGUCAAGGCCAGAGGACUUGUAACAAGUGUCUCGUGUUCUCGUUGAGUAGCCGUCAAGGCCAGAGGACUUGUAACAAGUGUCUCGUGUUUCUCGUUGAGUAGCCGUCAAGGCCAGAGGACUUGUAACAAGUGUCUCGUGUUCUCGUUGAGUAGCCGUCAAGGCCAGAGGACUUGUAACAAGUGUCUCGUGUUUCUCAUUGAGUAGCCGUCAAGGCCAGAGGACUUGUAACAAGUGUCUCGUGUUUCUCAUUGAGUAGCCGUCAAGGCCAGAGGACUUGUAACAAGUGUCUCGUGUUUCUCAUUGAGUAGCCGUCAAGGCCAGAGGACUUGUAACAAGUGUCUCGUGUUUCUCAUUGAGUAGUAUGGUCAGUGGUUAGAGUUGUGUUAUCGUCGGGGCGACGAUAAAAUAGCUGGGGCAGAUUGUGGCAAAGUAGAUAAUCUCCCUCCCCUGGUACUUAGAAACGGCCUAUCAGGGCUCAGUCAUUGCUUUAUAAAGGCUGUGAUUAGGCUACCUGGGAUGCGUCAUUGUUGGCCCCGCCCAUCCGGUACGUGUGCGCUUCCGCCUAACAAAGGUAUGUUUGUAGCUGGUCUGGCUAAUGCUGCAAUGAGCUCUUGGACCUCGGCUAACUAUAUUAAUUUAUUGUAGCUGGAGUCGCCUUUUUGCAGCUUGAAUAGCCAAUUAUUCCUGGCUUCGCUGUGGUUUUUAGGCUGUUUUUGCCACCUGGUUAGACUGAUUUCAUUCAAGUAAUCUUCUGAGACUUGUGCUGUGAGCAACUGUAUGAGGUGUGUGUAACGCUGUAGUCAAUACCUGGCCCCUGAGUCGGGUGGCUAGCUGUCCUAGUAUCCUGGUGGUGGUGGUGUUUGGAGCACGGAGUGUGGAUUGUCGUUUGUAGUCACUCACCUCACUCUGUGUGUGUGUGUGUGUGUGUGUGUGUGUGUGCUUUUACGAAUAGCCACUUUUGCAGCUAGCCUACCCUGCUAGGGGUAAGCCUUCGUAAAACUGAUUAAUGUAUGCCUGGUCGAUUCAUAUCUUUGCCUGAUCUUUUAAAAGGUGUAUUUUCUACUUUGUGAAUUUAAUAAAUAUUUGUAUACGCUA
Carassius gibelio (silver crucian carp) is the source of this 3184-nucleotide long non-coding RNA. RefSeq lists it as uncharacterized. The record is from RefSeq and is a predicted model, not a curated record. The transcript is spliced from 3 exons. NCBI's taxonomy places the organism in Eukaryota, Metazoa, Chordata, Actinopteri, Cypriniformes, Cyprinidae.